CUUUUUAGGGCCACACCUGUGGCAUAUGGAGGUUCCCAGGCUAGGAGUCUAGUUGGAGCUGUAGCUGCUGGCCUACGCCAGAGCACAGCCACACCAGAUCAGAACCGCGUCUGCAACCCAUACCACAGUUCGUGGCAUCGCCAGAUCCUUAACCCACUGAUCAAGGCCAGGGAUCAAACCGGUAACCUCAUGGUUCCUAGUCGUAUUCGUUAACCACUGAGCCAUGACGGGAACUCCUCCCCUCUUUUUAAAGAUAGUGUAGGAGUUCCUGCUGUGGCACAGUAGUGGUAUUGCUGCAGCUAUGGUCUAGGUCGUAGCUUGGGGCUCAGAUUUGAUACAUGGCCUGGGAACUUUCACAUGCCAUGGGCGGAGCUGAAAAAGAAAAAAUAAUAAAAACUAAAAAUAUAACGUAACAAUUGUGUAACCCUUUAAUUUUAAUGAUCUAUUAUUCAAGUUCUCACUGCAGGUAAGUAGAUUUCUGGAGACAUGAUUUUACUUUUGGCCUAUGCAAAUACUCAUAAUAAAGACUUUUCCUCUAAUAGAAUUCUAUUUUCAAUGAUAAAAAGGGUUAAAUCCUUAAUUUACAAUGUUCUCAAGCAUUUCAUUUAUAUCACACUUUGCUAAUAUAACAAUCCACUGUUAACGAUAAUAAGUUGAGAUUUUUAACUGACUUUUUCUGACCUAGACACUAGAUCUGGGUCCUCCUGGAUAAGGAGUCCCACGUAUCUCAAGAACUGUCCUGCAUUAAGAUCCCUGUUGAGUCACCAGCAGCAGCUGGCGGGAAGUGUGACCUCCAAGAUGUUGAACUCUGAGUGCAGCAGCUGGGGCCAUUGGUCAAUGAUGCUCACUGAAGCAGGAAACUCGAGUACAUAUCGUCACAAGACCACCACAACCAGAAACCUCUGGAUGGAUGAGGACCCUAGGUCCUCACCUGUUAGCAUGUCUUCAUGACAAGACAAGAUAAGAAACAGCUGCAUUAAAACCCACCAUUGUCUUUAUGGCAGGCAAACUCCUGGGGACACUGUCCACUACAUCACAGUGUACCCUUUAUGAGAGCCCAAGAAAAACACCUCCUGUGGCUCAGGGCCAGGCAAAGUCAUUCCUCCUGCGCAACUGGUAUGUUUUCAUUCUGUAGAUGUACAGAUUUUCUAACUGAUUUUCUCUUUGUCCGAAUUAUUAGAAAAUUAAAAGCUAGAUCUAGGAUCUAUCUUUAGUUUGGGGGCUUUCAUUUUUCAACUAUUCUAACUUUUUAUUUUUUAUUCUCUGUAGGAGAUCUAAACUCCCUUUGGAAAUAAGGCAGGAACUAAUCACCUUAAACUAGGCUGGAACUAUUUGGAACUAAAAAUACUAGAUUUUAAGCACGUUAAUUUUAGCCAUAUUUUAUUUACUUAUUUAUUUUUCUUUUUAGGGCCGCACCUGCGGCACACAGAAGUUCCUAGGACAGGGGUCAAACCAGAGCUGUAGCUACCGGCUUAAACUACAGUCACGGCAACACAAGAUCCAAGCCGAGUCUGCAACCUACACCACAGCUCACAGCAAUGCCAGAUCCUUAACCCACUGAGCAAGGCCAGGGAUCGAACCUGCAUCCUCAUGGAUACAGGUCGGGUUCAUUACUGCUGAGCCACGACAGGAACUCCUAGUAGCCACAUUUCAAAAUGAAAAGAAACAGGUGAAAUUGAGACAACCGAAGUCUUCGAAAGCUCAGUAUGUACUUUAUACUGAAAGCUCAUCACAACUUGUUCCAGCUGCACUGCAAGUGCUCAGUGGCCACAUGUGGCUAGUGGUUCCUGAAUUGUACAGGUCAGGUCUAAGCAUAAAGGAUCUGAAAUGAUGACCAUAGUGUCGGGGGAGUUUUCCAGGUUAUAAUUACAAAUGCAUCUGACCUAUAUUCGUAGUUGGCUUUGAUUGAAGAUUUCUGAGCUCCUGGGAGUUUCUGAAGCAAAUACUAGGUAUAAGAAAGUAUAAGAUCUUCUGACAAGGGUAAUGACCAUGCAAACCCCAAGAUUUCUGGAUCUUUCUUAGCUUCUCUGUGGCUUUUUUUUUUUUCCCCCUUGACUGGACCAUCCUUGGCUCCUUCUAAGAAACAACAUAAUAUAAAAUGGUUUGGGACAUCUGCUAAGAAAGAAAGAAAACAAACACAUUUGGUUUAUUCUGAACUUCAUCCAGAGAGUAUUAAAAAUGACCUUAAAGUGUGCUAAUAAAGGUACAAAGUCAAAGGGCAGAAACACUGCAGGUGUAAUCAACAAAUGAACAACAAAAUUUUGAUUCUCGUUUUAGAACCAGCUCUAAAAUUUUACACUUUAGUUUGGAUAAUAAAAGUGUUGUUCAUUUAAAUCAUGAGUAAAAGACCAAAAAUGGAUUUAGAUACCUGAGAAUUGAGAAUUUGAUGUUUUUAGACAAAUUAUUUAACCUGUAAAAGCCUCCAUUUCUACCUGAGUAUAGAGUAACAACUACAUCAAAGAAUGGCUACAAAGAUUAAUAAUAUUAUGUAUAAAGCUUACAACCAGCUAAUAGUAUGCAUUCAAUAAAUGGUACCUAUCGUUAUAGUUGAUCACAAAAGAUUAUUAAAUUCAAGUAUUCCUAACCUGGGGUCUGCAGAUCCUUGGUCCAUGGCUAAAACUGCGGGGGGUGGGAGGGGAAGGGAUUCCUAAAAUUGGAUGGGAAAAAAGACUACCUACAUUUUCACUAAUCUCUCGCCAAAAUCUAGCUUUUUUUUCCAUUAUGAAUGCUGUUAACAUCCCAGAAUUAUCUGAAGGAUGUUCAACUUGGCACCAAUAGAAGCUACAGAUAUUUUUAUAUUACACUUCUGAUGCUACAGACAUCUCAAAGUAUCUUUUCCUUGGCACCUUUUUGAAAUUCCAGCUGUUGUUAGACCUGCUAUUAGAUCUUGUUAAUUAAUGCAUUAGUAAAGAAGUAAUACUAUGUUAUCAAUGUACUGUUUUUAACUUUAAUAUAAUAGGUUUCCUUUGUAAUCCUACAUGUUUUAUUUCUUAAAGCAUGAUUCUGAGGGGUCUAUAAACUUUCACAAGUCUGCCAUGGCACAAAACAAGGUUAAGAAUCCCUAACUUUUUAGUCCAUAUUUGCUUUCAGAAAAUCAACCAAGUUUGACAAUUGACCACCUGCCUGGGUGAGCCUAUUCUCAUGGCCUCAGGUUUGUUUUUCUGUGUAUAGUUUGUUAGGGAGAUAUUACAGUUCUGGUACCUAUCAGUUAACCUUCCUGUUCUGUGUUCAAGUUGUCAAGCUGGUUUUCUGGUAUGUUCCAUGGAGCUCGGGGAUAUACUUGGGCCCCCACUGAAGCUAGGCAGUGGUUCUUAACUGCGGUCCCAGACCAGUAGCAUGAGCAUCGCCUGGCAGCUUGCUGGAUUUGCAAAUUCUAGGGUCAUGCCCCAGACGUCCUGAAACAAGCCCUGGGGAAAUGCCCACUGGAGUUUGAGAAUCACCGCGCUAGGCAAUCUGAGGGCGGUCCAAUCCUGAGCGAGAGACUCUCAUAUCGACUUUUCAGAGGGACUUACAGAGCUCCUGCAACCGAGCGAGGCAGGAGGUGGGGAGGUAGGGGAGGUGCUGAGGGGCUGCCAUCGAAUCGAAAGCCGGGGCUACGAGCCUUGUUUUGGUCCUCUAACCCAGAUUUUACUUACAUUACACGGGGCCUCGAGGGUGACUGAUGAUCAUCGCCCCCCUCAGCACCAAACCCUCUGCGCAGGCACUGUACGGCCAAAGAAGGGGACUCAAGGGAGAACCUGCGAGCGCCCCACGAAAACUGCUCUAGACCUGCAGGUUCGGGCCAGUUGGGUCUGCAGCCCGCUGGACCUCUCCCAGCCCCACCGC
This 3825-nucleotide long non-coding RNA is filed under the name Sus scrofa (pig). Its description in RNAcentral is "lncRNA (ENSSSCG00065016480.1)". The record is from RNAcentral. Lineage: Eukaryota; Metazoa; Chordata; Mammalia; Artiodactyla; Suidae.